This 253-nucleotide ribosomal RNA is filed under the name uncultured bacterium. RNAcentral describes it as "partial 16S ribosomal RNA". It matches the Rfam family "Bacterial small subunit ribosomal RNA", at positions 524 to 776 of the family's 1533-position model. The record is from RNAcentral.
GACGUAGGGGACGAGCGUUGUCCGGAUUCAUUGGGCGUAAAGCGCGCGUAGGCGGUCUGUCGCGUCGGAUGUGAAAAUCCAGGGCUCAACCCUGGACCUGCAUUCGAUACGGGCAGACUAGAGUUCGGUAGGGGAGACUGGAAUUCCUGGUGUAGCGGUGAAAUGCGCAGAUAUCAGGAGGAACACCGGUGGCGAAGGCGGGUCUCUGGGCCGAAACUGACGCUGAGGAGCGAAAGCGUGGGGAGCAAACAGG